UACGAAGGGGGCGAGCGUUGUUCGGAAUUACUGGGCGUAAAGGGCGCGUAGGCGGCGACCCAAGUCAGAUGUGAAAGUCCUGGGCUUAACCUGGGGACUGCAUUUGAUACUGGGUUGCUUGAAUUCGGGAGAGGAUAGCGGAAUUCCCAGUGUAGAGGUGAAAUUCGUAGAUAUUGGGAAGAACACCGGUGGCGAAGGCGGCUAUCUGGACCGACAUUGACGCUGAGGCGCGAAAGCGUGGGGAGCGAACAGG
RNAcentral lists this ribosomal RNA (253 nucleotides) under uncultured bacterium. Its description in RNAcentral is "partial 16S ribosomal RNA". It matches the Rfam family "Bacterial small subunit ribosomal RNA", at positions 524 to 776 of the family's 1533-position model. The record is from RNAcentral.